UGAGUAUUUCGAGUCAUAUGAAUAUUUAACUUUUUUUUAACCCCUCUCAUAACCCAGAACAGACCGAUUUUAAUCGCUGGAAUACAUUGACACCUCUUAACUUAUUAAUAAAAAUUGUUUAGACGCCUCAACUAGGACCAUGACCUAUCUACCGCUGGAUUGAAGUUUGCAGCAUAGCAGAGUUGUGGAGUUAGUAUGCAGAUUGGUUAAAACAGGGCAAAAUGGCAAAAUGCUCAAACACUUGAGAAAAGAGGCAUCAUAUAGAUCCCUGGAGUAAGGUUAAGAAAUAUGGAUACCUUGUUGCUAAAAAACACCCGAUCGUACUUGUAGCGAUGUGCUGGAUACACCCAAGAAUUGCAGAUGAAAUGAACUUCACCAUGUCCAGGAAUAUCUUCUAAAGCGACGGUCUUCAGCUUUAGGAGAGUGUAAAUUACCAGGAUCAGCAUGGACAGCACUAAUGAGCUGUAGGAUGACGCGUUUGCCAAAGAGCUCG
Molecule: long non-coding RNA, 493 nt
Organism: Nicotiana attenuata
Lineage: Eukaryota; Viridiplantae; Streptophyta; Magnoliopsida; Solanales; Solanaceae
Exons: 3
Source: RefSeq, a predicted model, not a curated record